AUUGAACGCUGGCGGCAUGCCUUACACAUGCAAGUCGAGCGGCAGCGCGGGGGCAACCCUGGCGGCGAGCGGCGGACGGGUGAGUAAUACAUCGGAACGUGUCCUUUCGUGGGGGAUAACCAGCCGAAAGACUGGCUAAUACCGCAUGAGAUCUCACGAUGAAAGCGGGGGACCGCAAGGCCUCGCGCGAUUGGAGCGGCCGAUGUCGGAUUAGCUAGUUGGCGGGGUAAAAGCCCACCAAGGCGACGAACCGUAGCUGGUUUGAGAGAACGACCAGCCACACUGGGACUGAGACACGGCCCAGACUCCUACGGGAGGCAGCAGUGGGGAAUUUUGGACAAUGGGGGCAACCCUGAUCCAGCCAUGCCGCGUGUGUGAAGAAGGCCUUCGGGUUGUAAAGCACUUUUGGCCGGAACGAAAUCGCGCGGAUUAAUAACCCGCGUGGAUGACGGUACCGGAAGAAGAAGCACCGGCUAACUACGUGCCAGCCGCCGCGGUAA
RNAcentral lists this ribosomal RNA (500 nucleotides) under uncultured bacterium. Its description in RNAcentral is "partial 16S ribosomal RNA". It matches the Rfam family "Bacterial small subunit ribosomal RNA", at positions 29 to 523 of the family's 1533-position model. The record is from RNAcentral.